AUCUUUCAGUCCCAGCAGCCCAGAACUCAGUCAGGUGCUGCCAGCAUUGCAAGCAGGCCCAGUGUGAAUGCCCCAAUGGAUCCCGGACUCAGCUAAGUCAGGGGUGUUGAGCGGGGAGCGAUCAGGUGCUGGAAUGUCCAUAACACCUCAGUUCAUGUCCUCAGACUGCUGCAAACUGAACACUGAAUUGAAGGAUGUGCUCUUACCAUCGAAAGUUCAGCUGAUUAAUACCCAAACCUGUUUUCUGUACUGCAAACUUUAGAGAAAGGGUUUCCACCUGGUAACAUCAAUCUGCUUCUAAUGAAGAAUCUCCAAUCAGCAACAGUCAUCUGUUCCUGAUGAAAGAUCGCGGCUUAGAAAUGUUAACCUGCAUCUGAUGAAGAGCUUUCACCUGGUAACAUUAAUCUGUUUCAGAUCAAGGGGUCUCCACUCAGCAAUGUCAACCUGUUGCCAGUGAAGAGUUCCCACAUGGCGAAAUUAACCUGUAUCUAACAAAGGGUCUCCAGGAGUUACCUCUUGCUGAUAAAAGGUGUCCACAUGCUGAUGUUAACCUGUUUCUGACUGAAGGGUCUCCCAUUCAUUGUUAGACUGUUGCUGAUGACCAGUUUUUACCCAAUAACAUGAACCACGUUUAACUUUUGCCAUUGGGUUUUUACUUCCAGCCCUUUGCUGUUUGUAUUGUGGAAUUAAACCUCUGAGCUCUUUUCAGCUCAUAUCUUAAAUGUU
Molecule: long non-coding RNA, 726 nt
Organism: Carcharodon carcharias (great white shark)
Lineage: Eukaryota; Metazoa; Chordata; Chondrichthyes; Lamniformes; Lamnidae
Exons: 2
Source: RefSeq, a predicted model, not a curated record